GCACUCACCUAUCCACUAAACAGCAACUUCAAUGUUGAAAGAUUUUAAAAUCUUUCAACAUUGAAGUUGCUGUUUAGUGGAUAGGUGAGUGC
Non-coding RNA from Pelobates cultripes (western spadefoot toad), 92 nucleotides. The record is from the annotation of a GenBank genome assembly. Lineage: Eukaryota; Metazoa; Chordata; Amphibia; Anura; Pelobatidae.